This 1154-nucleotide ribosomal RNA is filed under the name Bombyx mori (domestic silkworm). RNAcentral describes it as "SSU rRNA". It matches the Rfam family "Eukaryotic small subunit ribosomal RNA", at positions 31 to 1110 of the family's 1831-position model. Lineage: Eukaryota; Metazoa; Arthropoda; Insecta; Lepidoptera; Bombycidae. The record is from RNAcentral.
CUUUGUUAAAGAAUUAAGCCAUGCAUGUCUCAGUGCAAGCCGUAUUAAGGCGAUACCGCGAAUGGCUCAAUAUAUAAGUUUUGGUUCCUUAGAUCUUACUCAGUUACUUGGAUAACUGUGGUAAUUCUAGAGCUAAUACAUGCAAUCAGAACUCUGACCAGUGAUGGGAUGAGUGCUUUUAUUAGAUCAAAACCAAUCGACGGAGGGCCUCGCGUCCGAAGUCGUUAAUUUUGAUGAAUCUGGAUAACUUUUGCAGAUCGCAUGGUCAAGUACCGGCGACGCAUCUUUCAAAUGUCUGCCUUAUCAACUUUCGAUGGUAGUUUCUGCGACUACCAUGGUUGUCACGGGUAACGGGGAAUCAGGGUUCGAUUCCGGAGAGGGAGCCUGAGAAACGGCUACCACAUCCAAGGAAGGCAGCAGGCGCGCAAAUUACCCACUCCCGGCACGGGGAGGUAGUGACGAAAAAUAACGAUACGGGACUCUUACGAGGCCUCGUAAUCGGAAUGAGUACACUUUAAAUAUUUUAACGAGGAACAAUUGGAGGGCAAGUCUGGUGCCAGCAGCCGCGGUAAUUCCAGCUCCAAUAGCGUAUACUAAAAUUGUUGCGGUUAAAAAGCUCGUAGUUGCAUUUGUGCGCCGCGCUGUCGGUGCACCGCAUCCGCGGUGAUACUGACACGUUUGCGGAGCAUAUCGUCGGUGAGCCGGCGUUCUAAAAAACGCCGGUUUCAAUAUCAAAAUCCUAUCGCGGUGCUCUUCGGGUGAGUGUCGAGGUGGGCCGACAAUUUUACUUUGAACAAAUUAGAGUGCUCAAAGCGGGCUAAAAAUGCUGCUUGAAUAUUUCGUGCAUGGAAUAAUAGAAUAUGAUCUCGGUUCUAUUUUGUUGGUUUUCAGAACUCCGAGGUAAUGAUUAAUAGGGAUAACUGGGGGCAUUCGUAUUGCGACGUUAGAGGUGAAAUUCUUGGAUCGUCGCAAGACGAACAUCAGCGAAAGCAAUUGCCAAAGGUGUUUUCAUCAUCAAGAACGAAAGUUAGAAGGUUCGAAGGCGAUUAGAUACCGCCCUAGUUCUAACCGUUAAUAUUGUCAUCUAGCGGAUCCGCCUGACGUUACUAACAAUGGCUCGGGCGGCCAGCUUUCCGGAAACAAAGAUAUUUUGG